UGGCUCAGUUGGUAGAGCAUGGUGUUUGCAACGCCAGGGUUGUGGGUUCAUUUCCCAU
Non-coding RNA from Salmo salar (Atlantic salmon), 58 nucleotides. The record is from Rfam. NCBI's taxonomy places the organism in Eukaryota, Metazoa, Chordata, Actinopteri, Salmoniformes, Salmonidae.